Molecule: microRNA precursor, 94 nt
Filed under: Podarcis lilfordi (Lilford's wall lizard)
Lineage: Eukaryota; Metazoa; Chordata; Lepidosauria; Squamata; Lacertidae
Source: RNAcentral
GCAAGAAACUCAAAGGUUGUGAGUGUGUGUGUGUGUGUGUGUGUGUGUGUAUACACACACACACACACACACACACACACACAACCCUUCCAUG